GAUGAACGCUAGCUACAGGCUUAACACAUGCAAGUCGAGGGGAAACGACAUCGAAAGCUUGCUUUUGAUGGGCGUCGACCGGCGCACGGGUGAGUAACGCGUAUCCAACCUGCCCACCACUUGGGGAUAACCUUGCGAAAGUAAGACUAAUACCCGAUGAUAUCCCUAGAAGACAUCUGAAAGGGAUUAAAGAUUUAUCGGUGAUGGAUGGGGAUGCGUCUGAUUAGCUUGUUGCGGGGUAACGGCCCACCAAGGCAACGAUCAGUAGGGGGUUCUGAGAGGAAGGUCCCCCACAUUGGAACUGAGACACGGUCCAAACUCCUACGGGAGGCAGCAGUGAGGAAUAUUGGUCAAUGGGCGAGAGCCUGAACCAGCCAAGUAGCGUGCAGGAUGACGGCCCUAUGGGUUGUAAACUGCUUUUAUAAGGGAAUAAAGUGGGUCUCGUGAGACUUUUUGCAUGUACCUUAUGAAUAAGGACCGGCUAAUUCCGUG
This 492-nucleotide ribosomal RNA is filed under the name uncultured bacterium. Its description in RNAcentral is "bacterial SSU rRNA". It matches the Rfam family "Bacterial small subunit ribosomal RNA", at positions 28 to 507 of the family's 1533-position model. The record is from RNAcentral.